RNAcentral lists this ribosomal RNA (453 nucleotides) under uncultured Methylobacterium sp. RNAcentral's name for it is "bacterial SSU rRNA". It matches the Rfam family "Bacterial small subunit ribosomal RNA", at positions 8 to 507 of the family's 1533-position model. The record is from RNAcentral. Lineage: Bacteria; Pseudomonadati; Pseudomonadota; Alphaproteobacteria; Hyphomicrobiales; Methylobacteriaceae.
AGAGUUUGAUCCUGGCUCAGAGCGAACGCUGGCGGCAGGCUUAACACAUGCAAGUCGAGCGGGCACUUCGGUGUCAGCGGCAGACGGGUGAGUAACACGUGGGAACGUACCCUUUGGUUCGGAAUAACGCUGGGAAACUAGCGCUAAUACCGGAUACGCCCUUUUGGGGAAAGGCUUGCUGCCGAAGGAUCGGCCCGCGUCUGAUUAGCUAGUUGGUGGGGUAAUGGCCUACCAAGGCGACGAUCAGUAGCUGGUCUGAGAGGAUGAUCAGCCACACUGGGACUGAGACACGGCCCAGACUCCUACGGGAGGCAGCAGUGGGGAAUAUUGGACAAUGGGCGCAAGCCUGAUCCAGCCAUGCCGCGUGAGUGAUGAAGGCCUUAGGGUUGUAAAGCUCUUUUGUCCGGGACGAUAAUGACGGUACCGGAAGAAUAAGCCCCGGCUAACUUCGUG